RNAcentral lists this ribosomal RNA (319 nucleotides) under uncultured soil bacterium. RNAcentral describes it as "bacterial SSU rRNA". It matches the Rfam family "Bacterial small subunit ribosomal RNA", at positions 26 to 347 of the family's 1533-position model. The record is from RNAcentral.
AGAUUGAACGCUGGCGGCAUGCCUUACACAUGCAAGUCGAACGGCAGCACGGGAGCAAUCCUGGUGGCGAGUGGCGAACGGGUGAGUAAUACAUCGGAACGUGCCCAAUCGUGGGGGAUAACGCAGCGAAAGCUGUGCUAAUACCGCAUAAGAUCUACGGAUGAAAGCAGGGGAUCGCAAGACCUUGCGCGAAUGGAGCGGCCGAUGGCAGAUUAGGUAGUUGGUGACGGUAAAGGCUCACCAAGCCUUCGAUCUGUAGCUGGUCUGAGAGGACGACCAGCCACACGUGGGACUGAGACACGGUCAGACUCGUACGGAG